RNAcentral lists this ribosomal RNA (253 nucleotides) under uncultured bacterium. RNAcentral's name for it is "partial 16S ribosomal RNA". It matches the Rfam family "Bacterial small subunit ribosomal RNA", at positions 524 to 776 of the family's 1533-position model. The record is from RNAcentral.
UACAGAGGUGGCAAGCGUUGUUCGGAAUUACUGGGCGUAAAGGGCUCGUAGGCGGCCAACUAAGUCGGACGUGAAAUCCCUCAGCUUAACUGGGGAACUGCGUCCGAUACUGGAUGGCUUGGAUUUGGGAGAGGGAUGCGGAAUUCCAGGUGUAGCGGUGAAAUGCGUAGAUAUCUGGAGGAACACCGGUGGCGAAGGCGGCAUCCUGGACCAACACUGACACUGAGGAGCGAAAGCCAGGGGAGCAAACGGG